UACGUAGGGUGCAAGCGUUAAUCGGAAUUACUAGGCGUAAAGCGUGCGCAGGCGGUUAUGCAAGACAGAUGUGAAAUCCCCGGGCUUAACCUGGGAACUGCAUUUGUGACUGCAUAGCUAGAGUACGGUAGAGGGGGAUGGAAUUCCGCGUGUAGCAGUGAAAUGCGUAGAUAUGCGGAGGAACACCGAUGGCGAAGGCAAUCCCCUGGGCCUGCACUGACGCUCAUGCACGAAAGCGUGGGGAGCAAACAGG
This 253-nucleotide ribosomal RNA is filed under the name uncultured bacterium. RNAcentral's name for it is "partial 16S ribosomal RNA". It matches the Rfam family "Bacterial small subunit ribosomal RNA", at positions 524 to 776 of the family's 1533-position model. The record is from RNAcentral.